RNAcentral lists this ribosomal RNA (500 nucleotides) under uncultured bacterium. RNAcentral's name for it is "bacterial SSU rRNA". It matches the Rfam family "Bacterial small subunit ribosomal RNA", at positions 355 to 871 of the family's 1533-position model. The record is from RNAcentral.
UUAGGAAUUUUGGGCAAUGGCCGCAAGGCUGACCCAGCAACGCCGCGUGAGGGAUGAAGGCCUUCGGGUUGUAAACCUCUUUUCCUAGGGACGAUUGUGACGGUACCUGGGGAAUCAGCCCCGGCUAACUACGUGCCAGCAGCCGCGGUAAUACGUAGGGGGCGAGCGUUGUCCGGAUUUAUUGGGCGUAAAGCGCGCGUAGGCGGUGGCUCAAGUCGGCCGUGAAAGCGCCAGGCUCAACCUGGCGAGGACGGGCGAAACGGAGUCGCUCGAGGCGAGCAGAGGGCAGCGGAAUUCCGGGUGUAGUGGUGGAAUGCGUAGAUAUCCGGAGGAACACCAGUGGCGAAGGCGGCUGCCUGGGCUCGACCUGACGCUGAGGCGCGAAAGCGUGGGGAGCAAACCGGAUUAGAUACCCGGGUAGUCCACGCUGUAAACGUUGGGCACUAGCUGCUGGAGGUAUCGACCCCUUCGGUGGCGUCGCUAACGCAAUAAGUGCCCCG